GAAAAUCUGGGCUGUUCUACAAGUGGAAAAUUCAGUACAAAAAUUUCCUCUAAUUUCUUUAGGCCUAAGGGUACUUUCAAGCAUUGGGAAGCCGAAAUUUGAAAAACGUGCAUCACUCCGAAGCAUUCUUUUAUGCUUUGGUUAGGGGCCAAAUCAAAGCUCCUAACUAAAGACAAAUUAUUCUUCUUGGAUAUUGAUCGCAAGUGUGAUUUUUGUGGCCAUUUUGUGGAAAAUUGCGAGCAUCUUUUCUUUAAGUGUUCCUUCACAUCUACCUUAUGGGGGAACAUUAGGCGAUGGCUCGGCAUUAUCAGAUCUAUGUCAACACUUUCUAGUGCUCUUAGGUGGUUGAAAAAAGAGGCCUGUGGUUUUUGGCUUAGUAAGGCGAAGAGGAUUGCUCUUGCAAGCACCGUGUACUACAUUUGGCUUACAAGGAAUAUGAAGAUAUUCGAAGACCUCUCACCCGACUUGGAUUUCAUUGUGGGACGGAUCAAGACACACGUAUACAAAGUUAUGUUUACCUUGUAUCCGGAUGUCUUGAUCCAUUUCGAAUCCUUGGCAUUGAGUCAUUGAUCUUUUUUGUAUUUCACUUACUUUUGUACUUCCCGGGGAUGCCUGGUGUAUUUGUUUGUGAUAUUUGCUUGUGAUUUUUCCGGGUAUG
Molecule: long non-coding RNA, 658 nt
Filed under: Olea europaea subsp. europaea
Lineage: Eukaryota; Viridiplantae; Streptophyta; Magnoliopsida; Lamiales; Oleaceae
Source: RNAcentral